CGCACGGGUGAGUAACACGUGAGUGACCUGCCUUUUAGACUGGAACAACUUACCGAAAGGUGGGCUAAUGCCGGAUGAGUUAUAUAAGUGCAUGUUUAUAUAGGAAAAGUUGGGGAGACCUGACGCUGAAAGAUGGACUCGCGUCCCAUUAGCUAGUUGGUAGGGUAAUGGCCUACCAAGGCGACGAUGGGUAGCCGGCCUGAGAGGGUGGCCGGCCACACUGGGACUGAGACACGGCCCAGACUCCUACGGAAGGCAGCAG
RNAcentral lists this ribosomal RNA (262 nucleotides) under uncultured bacterium. Its description in RNAcentral is "partial 16S ribosomal RNA". It matches the Rfam family "Bacterial small subunit ribosomal RNA", at positions 99 to 354 of the family's 1533-position model. The record is from RNAcentral.